Molecule: transfer RNA, 86 nt
Filed under: Alphaproteobacteria bacterium
Lineage: Bacteria; Pseudomonadati; Pseudomonadota; Alphaproteobacteria
Description: tRNA-Leu
Rfam family: tRNA
About the family: Transfer RNA (tRNA) molecules are approximately 80 nucleotides in length. Their secondary structure includes four short double-helical elements and three loops (D, anti-codon, and T loops). Further hydrogen bonds mediate the characteristic L-shaped molecular structure. tRNAs have two regions of fundamental functional importance: the anti-codon, which is responsible for specific mRNA codon recognition, and the 3' end, to which the tRNAs corresponding amino acid is attached (by aminoacyl-tRNA synthetases). tRNAs cope with the degeneracy of the genetic code in two manners: having more than one tRNA (with a specific anti-codon) for a particular amino acid; and 'wobble' base-pairing, i.e. permitting non-standard base-pairing at the 3rd anti-codon position.
Source: RNAcentral
GCCCGGAUGGCGGAAUUGGUAGACGCAGCGGACUCAAAAUCCGCCGGCCUUAGGCCUUGCGAGUUCGAGUCUCGCUCCGGGUACCA